Molecule: ribosomal RNA, 243 nt
Filed under: uncultured bacterium
Lineage: Bacteria
Description: partial 16S ribosomal RNA
Rfam family: Bacterial small subunit ribosomal RNA
Source: RNAcentral
GAUCCUGGCUCAGGAUGAACGCUGGCGGCGUGCCUAACACAUGCAAGUCGAGCGAAGCGGUUUUUAAGGAAGUUUUCGGAUGGAAUUAAAACUGACUGAGCGGCGGACGGGUGAGUAACGCGUGGGUAACCGUGCCUCAUACAGGGGGAGUAACAGUUAGAAAUAGGCUGCUAAUACCGCAUAAGCACACAGCUUCGCAUGGAGCAGUGUGAAAACUACCGGUGGUAUGAGAUGGACCCGCGU